Non-coding RNA from Pantherophis guttatus, 357 nucleotides. NCBI's taxonomy places the organism in Eukaryota, Metazoa, Chordata, Lepidosauria, Squamata, Colubridae. The record is from RefSeq and is a predicted model, not a curated record.
ACCAAUCAUGGGUUACCAUGGCAGCAAUGUGGACAUUCUGUAUUUACUACUGUAUUUCUUCUAUUCCUUCUCGAACAAAAAAAGUAAUUCUAGCUGGAGAAGACAAUAAAUAUUGGAGGUAUAAAGGGAGACAGGAAGAACACUGAUGAAAGAACACAAAAGCCAUUAACUGCUAAACUAGUAAUAUUUUUGGAGGAGAGAAAUGAUUACAAAGAAGGGACUUAAUAUGUACCUUAUCAUAUCUGAGAAGCCGUUUAUGCAGGAAUUGACCUUGAUGGCAACUCGAAUAUUACACAUGUCCAACCUGCUAAACUGAAGAUAAAUGUCAAGUUCACAAUAAAGAGAUUAAUCUUGGCA